RNAcentral lists this ribosomal RNA (451 nucleotides) under Fusarium sp. GZUCCZY0020. RNAcentral's name for it is "eukaryotic LSU rRNA". The stretch from base 109 to 262 matches the Rfam family "5.8S ribosomal RNA". The record is from RNAcentral. Lineage: Eukaryota; Fungi; Ascomycota; Sordariomycetes; Hypocreales; Nectriaceae.
CGUUGCCUCGGCGGAUCAGCCCGCGCCCCGUAAAAAGGGACGGCCCGCCCGAGGACCCUAAACUCUGUUUUUAGUGGAACUUCUGAGUAAAACAAACAAAUAAAUCAAAACUUUCAACAACGGAUCUCUUGGUUCUGGCAUCGAUGAAGAACGCAGCAAAAUGCGAUAAGUAAUGUGAAUUGCAGAAUUCAGUGAAUCAUCGAAUCUUUGAACGCACAUUGCGCCCGCCAGUAUUCUGGCGGGCAUGCCUGUUCGAGCGUCAUUUCAACCCUCAAGCUCAGCUUGGUGUUGGGACUCGCGGUAACCCGCGUUCCCCAAAUCGAUUGGCGGUCACGUCGAGCUUCCAUAGCGUAGUAAUCAUACACCUCGUUACUGGUAAUCGUCGCGGCCACGCCGUAAAACCCCAACUUCUGAAUGUUGACCUCGGAUCAGGUAGGAAUACCCGCUGAAC